Molecule: ribosomal RNA, 241 nt
Filed under: Salmonella enterica subsp. enterica serovar Anatum
Lineage: Bacteria; Pseudomonadati; Pseudomonadota; Gammaproteobacteria; Enterobacterales; Enterobacteriaceae
Also listed under: 2 other names
Description: partial 16S ribosomal RNA
Rfam family: Bacterial small subunit ribosomal RNA
Source: RNAcentral
GUGCCUUCGGGAACUGUGAGACAGGUGCUGCAUGGCUGUCGUCAGCUCGUGUUGUGAAAUGUUGGGUUAAGUCCCGCAACGAGCGCAACCCUUAUCCUUUGUUGCCAGCGGUUAGGCCGGGAACUCAAAGGAGACUGCCAGUGAUAAACUGGAGGAAGGUGGGGAUGACGUCAAGUCAUCAUGGCCCUUACGACCAGGGCUACACACGUGCUACAAUGGCGCAUACAAAGAGAAGCGACCU